CCCUUAGAUGUUCUGGGCCGCACGCGCGCUACACUGACGAUGGCAACGAGUUUUUCCUUCGCCGAAAGGUGUGGGUAAUCUUUUGAAACAUCGUCGUGCUGGGGAUAGAUCAUUGCAAUUUUUGAUCUUGAACGAGGAAUUCCUAGUAAGCGCGAGUCAUCAGCUCGCGUUGAUUACGUCCCUGCCCUUUGUACACACCGCCCGUCGCUACUACCGAUUGAAUGGUUUAGUGAGGACUCCUGAUUGGCGCCGCCGCCCCGGCAACGGCGCAGCGGACUGCCGAAAAGUUGUUCAAACUUGAUCAUUUAGAGGAAGUAAAAGUCGUAACA
This 329-nucleotide ribosomal RNA is filed under the name uncultured eukaryote. Its description in RNAcentral is "partial 18S ribosomal RNA". It matches the Rfam family "Eukaryotic small subunit ribosomal RNA", at positions 1470 to 1796 of the family's 1831-position model. The record is from RNAcentral.